Molecule: ribosomal RNA, 372 nt
Filed under: uncultured organism
Description: partial 16S ribosomal RNA
Rfam family: Bacterial small subunit ribosomal RNA
Source: RNAcentral
GUAGGGUGGCAAGCGUUGUCCGGAAUUAUUGGGCGUAAAGCGCGCGCAGGCGGUCCUUUAAGUCUGAUGUGAAAGCCCACGGCUCAACCGUGGAGGGUCAUUGGAAACUGGGGGACUUGAGUACAGGAGAGGAAAGCGGAAUUCCAAGUGUAGCGGUGAAAUGCGUAGAGAUUUGGAGGAACACCAGUGGCGAAGGCGGCUUUCUGGUCUGUAACUGACGCUGAGGCGCGAAAGCGUGGGGAGCAAACAGGAUUAGAUACCCUGGUAGUCCACGCCGUAAACGAUGAGUGCUAAGUGUUAGGGGGUUUCCGCCCCUUAGUGCUGCAGCUAACGCAUUAAGCACUCCGCCUGGGGGGUACGGCCGCAAGGCUG